This 719-nucleotide ribosomal RNA is filed under the name uncultured bacterium. RNAcentral describes it as "bacterial SSU rRNA". It matches the Rfam family "Bacterial small subunit ribosomal RNA", at positions 104 to 810 of the family's 1533-position model. The record is from RNAcentral.
GGGUGAGUAACACGUGGGCAACCUGCCCAAAAGAGGGGGAUAACACUUGGAAACAGGUGCUAAUACCGCAUAACCAUAGUUACCGCAUGGUAACUAUGUAAAAGGUGGCUAUGCUACCGCUUUUGGAUGGGCCCGCGGCGCAUUAGCUAGUUGGUGGGGUAAAGGCUUACCAAGGCAAUGAUGCGUAGCCGAACUGAGAGGUUGAUUGGCCACAUUGGGACUGAGACACGGCCCAAACUCCUACGGGAGGCAGCAGUAGGGAAUCUUCCACAAUGGGCGAAAGCCUGAUGGAGCAACGCCGCGUGGGUGAAGAAGGUCUUCGGAUCGUAAAACCCUGUUGUUAGAGAAGAAAGUGCGUGAGAGUAACUGUUCACGUUUCGACGGUAUCUAACCAGAAAGCCACGGCUAACUACGUGCCAGCAGCCGCGGUAAUACGUAGGUGGCAAGCGUUAUCCGGAUUUAUUGGGGGUAAAGGGAACGCAGGCGGUCUUUUAAGUCUGAUGUGAAAGCCUUCGGCUUAACCGGAGUAGUGCAUUGGAAACUGGGAGACUUGAGUGCAGAAGAGGAGAGUGGAACUCCAUGUGUAGCGGUGAAAUGCGUAGAUAUAUGGAAGAACACCAGUGGCGAAAGCGGCUCUCUGGUCUGUAACUGACGCUGAGGUUCGAAAGCGUGGGUAGCAAACAGGAUUAGAUACCCUGGUAGUCCACGCCGUAAACGAU